Molecule: long non-coding RNA, 279 nt
Filed under: Vitis vinifera (wine grape)
Lineage: Eukaryota; Viridiplantae; Streptophyta; Magnoliopsida; Vitales; Vitaceae
Description: long non-coding RNA (VVIN_LNC000595)
Source: RNAcentral
UCAUCUGCUCCACCACCUUCUCCGCCGUCCGCCGCCGUCACCCCUUGUAUCCUCUUCCGUCUUCUCCUUCUUCUGCGUCUCCCCUACCACCACCGCCACUGCCGCCGCCGCCGCGGCCACUUUCUCUCCCCUUCGCACCACCCUCUUCUCCUUCCACUCCUCCGCUCGCCCUCUCUUCCUCUGCAACUCACUCUCUUCCUCCUCUGUCGCAUUUCCUCAAACACCUUCUCCCCAAUCCAUCGAACCACAUUCCAUUCCCCAAGAACAAUUGCUAAACGA